This 860-nucleotide ribosomal RNA is filed under the name Frigoribacterium sp. RNAcentral's name for it is "bacterial SSU rRNA". It matches the Rfam family "Bacterial small subunit ribosomal RNA", at positions 56 to 928 of the family's 1533-position model. Lineage: Bacteria; Bacillati; Actinomycetota; Actinomycetes; Micrococcales; Microbacteriaceae. The record is from RNAcentral.
UGCAGUCGACGAUGAGCUGGAGCUUGCUCCAGGGAUUAGUGGCGAACGGGUGAGUAACACGUGAGUAACCUGCCCUUGACUCUGGGAUAAGCGCUAGAAAUGGCGUCUAAUACCGGAUACGAGCUUCAGCCGCAUGGCUAGGAGUUGGAAAGAAUUUUGGUCAAGGAUGGACUCGCGGCCUAUCAGCUAGUUGGUGAGGUAAUGGCUCACCAAGGCGACGACGGGUAGCCGGCCUGAGAGGGUGACCGGCCACACUGGGACUGAGACACGGCCCAGACUCCUACGGGAGGCAGCAGUGGGGAAUAUUGCACAAUGGGCGAAAGCCUGAUGCAGCAACGCCGCGUGAGGGAUGACGGCCUUCGGGUUGUAAACCUCUUUUAGUAGGGAAGAAGCGAAAGUGACGGUACCUGCAGAAAAAGCACCGGCUAACUACGUGCCAGCAGCCGCGGUAAUACGUAGGGUGCAAGCGUUGUCCGGAAUUAUUGGGCGUAAAGAGCUCGUAGGCGGUUUGUCGCGUCUGCUGUGAAAUCUGGGGGCUCAACCCCCAGCCUGCAGUGGGUACGGGCAGACUAGAGUGCGGUAGGGGAGAUUGGAAUUCCUGGUGUAGCGGUGGAAUGCGCAGAUAUCAGGAGGAACACCGAUGGCGAAGGCAGAUCUCUGGGCCGUAACUGACGCUGAGGAGCGAAAGCAUGGGGAGCGAACAGGAUUAGAUACCCUGGUAGUCCAUGCCGUAAACGUUGGGAACUAGAUGUGGGGGCCAUUCCACGGUCUCCGUGUCGCAGCUAACGCAUUAAGUUCCCCGCCUGGGGAGUACGGCCGCAAGGCUAAAACUCAAAGGAAUUGACGGGGGGCCCGCACAA